GCAGAUCAGACAACCCAGACUUGCUUAGGAUGCUGCAGAGCCCUGGGUCUGAUUCCCACUGAUUUGUUUGACUGUGGGCCACUUUCUUUUUUUUUUUUUUUAAGGAAGAUUAGCCCUGAGCUGACAUUCCUCUUUUUGCUGAGGAAUACUGGCCCUGAGCUAACAUCCAUGCCCAUCUUCCUCUACUUUAUAUGUGGGACGCCUACCACAGCAUGGCUUGCCAAGCGGUGCCAUGUCCGCACCCAGGAUCUGAACCAGAGAACCCCGGGCCGCCAAACGGAAUGGGUACACUCAACUGCUGUGCCACCAGGCCAGCCCCAUGUGGGCCACUUUCUGAGCCGCAGUUUCCCCAUCUGUGUAAUGGGGAUCAUCCCUACCUACAGGGUUGUUUUGUGGAUAUAAAAUAUUUAACAUAGUAAAUGCUCUAUAAAUAACUUGUUUAAUUUUAAUUUUGGAAUAUUUAAUAUUUACAUACCUACAAUAAAAGAAAUUUGAACAGAAUACAAAGGAGAGCAUAGAGUGAAAAAUAUGUCUCUCUCCUCCACCCUCUUCUGGGGGCCCCCCACGAUUACCUGCUUCCUGCCCUUCCCUGCAGAUAUAUUCUGUGGAUACAAUAGGAGUUAUCACACAGGACCCUAGAGUUGGUGAUCAUUAACUUGCCUGCCUUUCUAAACUACUCUUUCCCACUCUGCCCCUCACCCCCUUCUCCUGCGAGCGCACACCACUGUGGGCUCCCUUAUUUGUCUAGCUCCCCCUUCCCAAACCCCAUCCACCUGGUAAUGAUUUCCUAGAGAGUCUCCCAGGGGUCUCCAUGGGGACAUUUCCCGCUCCAAUCUCCAUGGCAACUCUUCAGGUUGCCAUGGCAACACUUAAGCGAUUAUUUGGAGACCCUUAAAUAAAUCACCCAUGGUGGUAUAUACUAGAAGGGUUUGGCUCUGGCUCUUAUGUUCCGGGCCAGGGUUGGGGCCUAGGCCUGCAGGCAGAAGUGGGGGGAGGUGGUGGUCAGGCCUGCCACCCCUGGUUCUAGCACUGCGAGGGGCCCUCUCUGGGCAAGGGUGGAAUGGAGCCUUUUGGGAAGUGGUGCGAGGACAAGCAGGAGCAGGCUUGUGCAGUCUUUGAAUAGAGAGAUCCUGCAGCAAGGAGGACAUUCUUAAUAGGACUAUGGGCUCAAGAUGAGGGGCAGCUGAGAGGAAGCUGGAACGUGACUGAGCAAGGAUUCAAAUCCAGGCCUGCUUGGCUCCAAGGCUGUCACUCACUCCUUGAGGCUAAAGGCUGAGAGAGAAUUUAAGAUUGAAUCCACUCCUUCAUUUACUGGACCAAUAUAUAUAUAUAUAUAUAUACAUUUUUUUUUUUUUUUGAGGAAGAUUAGCCCUGAGCUAACAUCUGCCUCCAAUCUUCCUCUUUUUAUUUUGCUGAGGAAGAUUGGCCCUGAGCUAACAUCUGUGCCUAUCUUCCUCUACUUUGUAUACAGACACCUGCCACAGCAUGGCUUGAUAAGCGGCGCUAGGUUUGCGCCUGGGAUCUGAACCUGCGAACCCCGGGCUGCUGAAGCAGAGCAGGUGAACUUAACUGCUAUGCCACCAGGCUGGCCCCUAGAGCAAUAUAUAUAUAUAUAUCUUUCUUUCUGCUUUUUCUCCACAAAUCCCCCCAGUAUAUAGCUGUAUAUUUUAGUUGUGGGUCCUUCUAGUUGUAGUUAGACCAAUAUUUUUAGAGCACCUACUACAUGCCAGGCACUGUGCUAAGCAUAGAGGAUGCAGCAGUGACUAGAACAAAGAAAAACACCUGUCCUCAUGGAGCUUACCUUCUACUGAGGGAUACAAUUAGCACAGUAAUGGAAACAGGCUAGCUGGUGGUUUAAGAAUUGGGGAAGGGGGCCAGGGAAUGUGGGGAGAAGCUGUGGUAUGCGCUGCCAAAAGGGCUCGGGUCCCUGGGCACAGUCAUGGAACUCAGCUCUGGGGACAAUUCCCAAAAGGGAGGAGGGCGAGGGGUGAGAGAAACCGGUGAAGUUUGGAGACUCUCUCAGCAGUGGCUCCUUCCACGUGUUCUGGCAGCACAGCUAAGCGAUUCAGUCUUCCAGUUUCCUGGAUGCCUCACAAGACAAACUGAAGCAGGCAGACCUGAUUAGCCCUGAGCUAACAUCUGCUGCCAAUCCUCCUCUUUUUGCUGAGGAAGACUAGCCGUGAGCUAACAUCCGUGCCCAUCUUCCUCUACUUUAUAUGUGGGACGCCUACUACAGCAUGGCGUGCCAAGCAGUGCCAUGUCUGCACCCUGGAUCCGAACCGGCGAAACUCCGGGCUGCUGAAGGGGAACAUGCGCACUUAACCGGUGUGCCACUGGGCCGGCCCCUAAAUUGCUUGUCUUGAGUACCGGGGAGACUGUGUAGCCUAUCUGGGGACUCCGGUUUAUUUUAUUUCUAAUGUUAACCUCAGGUGGCUAUGUGCUCCCCGACUUGUAUGUGAUAAACGGAUUGGUCAGGGCUGUCCUUUGGUGGUGGAGCAGACUGAAGGGUACAGGGGCAUGAUUCUUCUAACCCUUGGCUUCCCCUGGAGGCAAUACUUCCCAGGAAUGGAGAGGUUUGGGAGCAUAGGCCUAAGGCACACAGUCUACACAGUGUGUGUACUCUGUGCCAAAAAUCUUCCUAAGGAGAUCAAGAGACUUGCGUCUUUUUACACUAGGCUCUCUCUGCCUUGGCUGAGUGUGGAUUAUCCACUUUCGAAUAGGCCCUGGGUUUUGGGCCAGGUUGGUAGACAACAGCAAGUGAUUUCUGGCCACUUUAGCCUCUUCUUUAGAAGAGGUGUUCACUGGAAGUUCCUCGGACAGUGAGUGGAGGAGUUGAGUGGCCAGCUCCAUGAGGUGCAGGAGGCCAUGGACAUCUCAGUGGCCGUCUCCUCCUUGGCUCUUAGCAGCUUGUAAU
Molecule: long non-coding RNA, 2914 nt
Filed under: Equus asinus (donkey)
Lineage: Eukaryota; Metazoa; Chordata; Mammalia; Perissodactyla; Equidae
Description: lncRNA (ENSEASG00005036689.1)
Source: RNAcentral